Molecule: unclassified non-coding RNA, 1145 nt
Filed under: Hevea brasiliensis (rubber tree)
Lineage: Eukaryota; Viridiplantae; Streptophyta; Magnoliopsida; Malpighiales; Euphorbiaceae
Source: RNAcentral
AAAAACCAUGGACCUCCGUGAAAAGUUGUCUAGGGCAGUGCAUCCUUCAGGCCCUCCACCCAGUAGUCUUGAUGCACGGCAGCGCAUGCCUGAUACUAAGGACAAUAGUAUCUUGGGUCGAAUUCCGCCUACAAGAAGUGCUGAUAAUUUACCACGGAUAGAUUCAUCAAGAAAUUCUUAUUCUCCGUGGACAUUGGAUCAUAUACGAAGGAGAUCUCCAGAUAGAAUUAUAGGUAGUUCUAGGGGCUUAUCCCCACCCAGAAAUGUGGAGGAAUUACAAAGAAGACAAUUAAACAGUACGUUUGAUGAUGCAAGAACAGUUUCAUACAUGAAUAAGGAUGUUCUCGAUGCUUCAAGGCCUGUGAACAGUUCCACAGCUUUCAUGACUAAGUCUGUGUUGCCUGCAGCAUCUACAAAGCCUGCGGUGCCUUUUGUGGGCCAACUUCGUCCUCCACCAAGUGGGAUUCUACAUAAGAGCUCAUAUGCGGGUGAAGAACAACAGACUGUUGAAAGCCUGUUACAUUCACUGGGAUUGGGGAAAUAUGCCAUUAUCUUUAAGGCUGAGGAAGUGGAUAUGACUGCAUUGAAGCAGAUGAGGGAAAAUGACCUCAAAGAGCUGGGAAUACCUAUGGGACCAAGAAAAAAGAUUCUUCUGGCUCUCCCGGCUCGUUCCAAGAGACAACCUUGAUGAUUGUACUACCAUAGCAAAACUGUGGUAGGGAUUUAGGUCAAAUUCUUUUUCUCGAAGUUCCACCCUGCAUUUCUUCUCAGAUUAGAUUGGAAGUGCUCUAUGAAUCCGUAUGAAAUUUUUGCGUCCAACAAUUAUUCGGUUACUAUUUUGAAUUAGAUUGAAUGCGGCAAAAUACUUUUGAGAUGUAAAAUAUUGACUAUUAUUGUUAGAUUGCUUUUCAUGUAUUCUUUUUUCACAUACCUGAUUAUGCUUGUCGGUAUUCAAGCUGUAUCCGUAGAAUACGCUCAUGAUGUAAAGAAUUAACUUGGAUAUGGAUGUUGUAUCAAUUUUUAGGAGCAUCUGAGUUGGAUUUUUGUUCCUUCGUAGAUUUUCCACAUAUUUUAAGCAAAGCUGAAUUAGCAAAAGCCAGAGCGAAGGAGGAUUUUUCACGUUUAUAUAUUACUUUGAUUGCCAG